AGUGAACGCUGGCGGUAGGCCUAACACAUGCAAGUCGAACGGCAGCACAGUAAGAGCUUGCUCUUACGGGUGGCGAGUGGCGGACGGGUGAGGAAUACAUCGGAAUCUACUUUUUCGUGGGGGAUAACGUAGGGAAACUUACGCUAAUACCGCAUACGGCCUACGGGUGAAAGCAGGGGAUCUUCGGACCUUGCGCGAUUGAAUGAGCCGAUGUCGGAUUAGCUAGUUGGCGGGGUAAAGGCCCACCAAGGCGACGAUCCGUAGCUGGUCUGAGAGGAUGAUCAGCCACACUGGAACUGAGGCACGGUCCAGACUCCUACGGGAGGCAGCAGUGGGGAAUAUUGGACAAUGGGCGCAAGCCUGAUCCAGCCAUACCGCGUGGGUGAAGAAGGCCUUCGGGUUGUAAAGCCCUUUUGUUGGGAAAGAAAAGCAGCAGGUUAAUACCCCGCUGUUCUGACGGUACCCAAAGAAUAAGCACCGGCUAACUUCGU
RNAcentral lists this ribosomal RNA (491 nucleotides) under uncultured bacterium. RNAcentral's name for it is "partial 16S ribosomal RNA". It matches the Rfam family "Bacterial small subunit ribosomal RNA", at positions 29 to 506 of the family's 1533-position model. The record is from RNAcentral.